RNAcentral lists this ribosomal RNA (259 nucleotides) under uncultured bacterium. RNAcentral's name for it is "partial 16S ribosomal RNA". It matches the Rfam family "Bacterial small subunit ribosomal RNA", at positions 96 to 353 of the family's 1533-position model. The record is from RNAcentral.
CGGCGGACGGGUGAGUAGCGCGUGGGUGACCUGCCCCAUACCGGGGGAUAACAGCUGGAAACGGCUGCUAAUACCGCAUAAGCGCACAGAGCUGCAUGGCUCGGUGUGAAAAACUCCGGUGGUAUGGGAUGGGCCCGCGUCUGAUUAGGCAGUUGGCGGGGUAACGGCCCACCAAACCGACGAUCAGUAGCCGGCCUGAGAGGGCGACCGGCCACAUUGGGACUGAGACACGGCCCAAACUCCUACGGGAGGCAGCAUG